RNAcentral lists this ribosomal RNA (76 nucleotides) under Coregonus artedi (cisco). The record is from RNAcentral. Lineage: Eukaryota; Metazoa; Chordata; Actinopteri; Salmoniformes; Salmonidae.
UCGGAAGCAAAGCAGGGUCGGGCCUGGUUAGUACUUGGGUAGGAGACUGCCUGGGAAUACCAGGUGCUGUAAGCUU